UACGUAGGGUGCAAGCGUUGUCCGGAAUUAUUGGGCGUAAAGAGCUCGUAGGCGCUUGUCACGUCGCUGUGAAAACCUGGGGCUCAACCCCGGGCCUGCAGCCAUCGGGCAAGCUAGAAUUCGGUAGGGGAGACUGAAUUCCUGGUGUAGCGGUGAAAUGCGCAGAUAUCAGGAGGAACACCGAUGCGAAGGCAGGUCUCUGGGCAUUAACUGACUGAGGAGCGAAAGCAUGGGGGAGCGAACAGG
This 246-nucleotide ribosomal RNA is filed under the name uncultured bacterium. RNAcentral describes it as "partial 16S ribosomal RNA". It matches the Rfam family "Bacterial small subunit ribosomal RNA", at positions 524 to 776 of the family's 1533-position model. The record is from RNAcentral.